CAUUCGUGGCUGUGGUGCCAUCCACAAGUGUGGUUCUCACCGCCGGUGGUUCACCACACUGCCGUAAAGUCCUCAUAGAUGACGCUCCUAUGCUUCAAGAAUUUGAGUUGGCAGUCGCUUUGUCGGCUGCUUUAGCCACGAGUUGAGCUAUUCGCUCCGGCAACAAGUGGCAACCAGUAGAAUGAACCGGACCUGUCGU
RNAcentral lists this long non-coding RNA (199 nucleotides) under Setaria viridis. RNAcentral describes it as "long non-coding RNA (SVIR_LNC001957)". The record is from RNAcentral. Lineage: Eukaryota; Viridiplantae; Streptophyta; Magnoliopsida; Poales; Poaceae.